GACGUUCCUGAAUCCAUGCAGAGAUUUCGUUAGACAUCAACCCAUUAGGGCUUAUCAGACUCCCAAGAUAAGUGAAGUU
Non-coding RNA from Schistosoma mattheei, 79 nucleotides. The record is from Rfam. Lineage: Eukaryota; Metazoa; Platyhelminthes; Trematoda; Strigeidida; Schistosomatidae.